AGAUAGAAAAUAGGUGCCCGUACCGCAAACCGACACAGGUAGUCAAGAUGAGAAUUCUAAGGUGAGCGAGCGAACUCUCGUUAAGGAACUCGGCAAAAUGACCCCGUAACUUCGGGAGAAGGGGUGCUCUUUAGGGUUAACGCCCAGAAGAGCCGCAGUGAAUAGGCCCAAGCGACUGUUUAUCAAAAACACAGGUCUCUGCUAAACCGUAAGGUGAUGUAUAGGGGCUGACGCCUGCCCGGUGCGGGAAGGUUAAGAGGAGUGGUUAGCUUCUGCGAAGCUACGAAGCGAAGCCCCAGUAAACGGCGGCCGUAACUAUAACGGUCCUAAGGUAGCGAAAUUCCU
This 345-nucleotide ribosomal RNA is filed under the name Staphylococcus aureus. RNAcentral's name for it is "partial 23S ribosomal RNA". It matches the Rfam family "Bacterial large subunit ribosomal RNA", at positions 1625 to 1969 of the family's 2925-position model. Lineage: Bacteria; Bacillati; Bacillota; Bacilli; Caryophanales; Staphylococcaceae. The record is from RNAcentral.